UUGCAAUGAUGAUAAUCCAAAGGUUUCGCUAAUAUUUAUUAUCUGAAUAAUUAUGCUGAUACACCUUGGCUGACUGAGCAA
Small nucleolar RNA from Plutella xylostella (diamondback moth), 81 nucleotides. RefSeq annotates it as small nucleolar RNA SNORD53/SNORD92. The record is from RefSeq and is a predicted model, not a curated record. Lineage: Eukaryota; Metazoa; Arthropoda; Insecta; Lepidoptera; Plutellidae.